This 414-nucleotide ribosomal RNA is filed under the name uncultured bacterium. RNAcentral describes it as "bacterial SSU rRNA". It matches the Rfam family "Bacterial small subunit ribosomal RNA", at positions 355 to 787 of the family's 1533-position model. The record is from RNAcentral.
UGGGGAAUAUUGCACAAUGGGGGAAACCCUGAUGCAGCGACGCCGCGUGAGCGAAGAAGUAUUUCGGUAUGUAAAGCUCUAUCAGCAGGGAAGAAAUGACGGUACCUGACUAAGAAGCCCCGGCUAACUACGUGCCAGCAGCCGCGGUAAUACGUAGGGGGCAAGCGUUAUCCGGAUUUUACUGGGUGUAAAGGGAGCGUAGACGGACUGCAAGUCUGAUGUGAAAACCCGGGCUCAACCCGGGACUGCAUUGGAAACUGUCAGUCUAGAGUGUCGGAGGGGUAAGUGGAAUUCCUAGUGUAGCGGUGAAAUGCGUAGAUAUUAGGAGGAACACCAGUGGCGAAGGCGGCCUGCUGGACUGUAACUGACGUUGAGGCUCGAAAAGCGUGGGGAGCAAAACAGGAUUAGAUACCC